Long non-coding RNA from Solanum lycopersicum (tomato), 777 nucleotides. RefSeq lists it as uncharacterized. The record is from RefSeq and is a predicted model, not a curated record. NCBI's taxonomy places the organism in Eukaryota, Viridiplantae, Streptophyta, Magnoliopsida, Solanales, Solanaceae.
GUCCAUCUAAACAUUAUAUUCUAUUAAAAUAAUACAAUACUAUACAAUUUAUUAUAUUAUUAUGUAAAAACUAGGCAAAUCACAUAGUCUAAGGGAAAAAUUACUUUCUAUUCCUAUUGUUUCACUAUUUACCAAAAAUCCCUUUUUUAUAUUAGUCCGAAUACUUAAUAUAACAAAAUGAUACUUGAAUUAGAGCGGAUGGAUACUUUAUAUGUUAGUUAAUUAUCUGUUACGGCGUUAAAAAAGGGAUAACAUUUAUCCUACGAUUCACAUCCCUUCCAAUCCAACGAUUUUGUUCCUAUCUUUACGCCUAAAAUCAUUCCCAUAUAUCAACAAUUACACCAAUUACUCAAUUUUUUAAUUUUAAAUCUAUUCUCUCAAGUUCAUCAAUUUCAAGUUCCUAAAGGGGUUGUAGGAUUCAUUAACCAUGGCGAAUCAUAAUAUUUAGAAGGACAAAACUUCAUCUUUUAAAGCAAAUGUGGAAGAACUUCAUCCCUGUUGCAUUUGCUGAAUUCUUUAGCGAUGAAGUCAACAUUCAUCUAAUGGUUUUUGAGUUGACUACCUUCGCACAAGAUAUCGACACUAUUAUGGAGUACGAUCUCGACAAGGUCAAGGUGAGAUAUGUUAGCGAUAACGAUGAUCCAUUAAAGCUAAAGAGCUAUUUCACUCCACAACAAUAAGAUGACUUGGUUCACAUAAAUUAGUGAUUAUGUACCAAUUCACAGACAACUUUGAUGUUUAUUGUUUUUAAGAUACAUUAACUAAUAUUUUGGAGGA